CGGUGGAUAUGCAAGUGGUUAAAGCGGGCGAACUGUAAAUUCGUUUCUAAUGAUUCGCAGGUUCGAAUCCUGUUCCACCGA
RNAcentral lists this transfer RNA (81 nucleotides) under Eubacterium plexicaudatum ASF492. It matches the Rfam family "tRNA". Rfam says of the family: Transfer RNA (tRNA) molecules are approximately 80 nucleotides in length. Their secondary structure includes four short double-helical elements and three loops (D, anti-codon, and T loops). Lineage: Bacteria; Bacillati; Bacillota; Clostridia; Eubacteriales; Eubacteriaceae. The record is from Rfam by way of RNAcentral.